UAUUCUGUUGUCAGUCAUAUUAUCUCUUUCAGUCUGUCUCUCUGCUUCCUUCUCUCUCUGUCAGAAGUGUACGUAUAUUUGCAGAAAUAUUUUUUUUCACUAUUAUCUUUUAAGAGUGUUGGAUUUGCAGAAUUUUUAGAAUGUUGAGGAUAAAGAUACCUUACAGUAUCUCUUGUCUCUUUGCAUUCUGAGUUCAAAUCCCAUUUAGGUCAACUUUGCCUAAUAUCCACCCUCAGGUCAUAAAAUACCAGUACCAGUGAAGUACUAGGAUCAAUUUAAUCUACUAACCCAUCCCAAUAAAAUUGCCAGUCAUGUGCUUAAUUUAGAAACAAUUAUGCUUAUAAUGGAGAAAUAUCAAGUUACCUUAAAUUUUCCACUAUUUUUGUAUUUCUGCUUUGUAGCUGUCAGUGUGUGUUUGAUACUGUAUGACUUUGCAUUGUUACCAAGCUUGUGGUUCAGCUUGCCAUGAUCAGUGGGAAAAAAGUAAAGAAAAGGUAAAUUUGAUGUCAAGAAGGGAAUUCGGUCAUAGAAUUUUCCUCUCACCCAUACCAGCAUGGGAAAAAAAACAACAAAAAAACAAAUGUUAAAAAAAUUAUAUCAUCAUCCUCAUCAUUUAAUGCCCAUUUUCUAUGCUGGCAUGGGUCAGAUUGUUCCAUAGGAGCUGGCCAGCUGUAGAGCUGCUCAGGCACUGAUUGUUUGUUUUGGUAUGGUUUCUAUGGUGGGAUGCCCUUCCUAAUGCCUACCACUUUACAGAGUAUAAACGUGUGCUUUUUAUAUGGCAUUGACAUGGGUGCUUUAUAUGAGGCACCAGCACGGGCACUUUAUAUGUGGCACCAGCAUGGGCACUUUAUGUGACACAAGCAUGGGCACUUUAUAUGUGACACCAGCACGGGCACUUUAUAUGUGACACCAGCACGGGCACUUUAUAUGUGGCACAAGCACGGGCACUUUAUAUGUGGCACAAGCAUGGGCACUUUAUAUGUGACACCAGCACGGGCACUUUAUAGGUGGCAUCAGCACGGGCACUGUAUAUGUGACACCAGCACGGGCACUUUAUAUGUGGCACAAGCAUGGGCACUUUAUAUGUGACACCAGCACGGGCACUUUAUAGGUGGCAUCAGCACGGGCACUGUAUAUGUGACACCAGCAUGGGCACUUUAUAUGAGGCACCAGCAUGGGCACUUUAUAUGUGACACCAGCAUGGGCACUUUAUAUGUGGCACCAGCACGGGCACUUUAUAUGUGGAAUCAGCAUGGGCACUUUAUGAGGUACCAGCAUGGGCACUUUAUAUGUGGCACCAGCAUGGGCACUUUAUAUGUGGAACCAGCAUGGGCACUUCAUAUGUGGCACCAGCAUGGGCACUUCAUAUGUGGCACCAGCAUGGGCACUUUAUAUGAGGUACCAGCAUGGGCACUUUAUAUGUGACACCAGCAUGGGCACUUUAUAUGUGACACCAGCAUGGGCACUUUAUAUGAGGCACCAGCAUGGGCACUUUAUAUGUGACACCAGCAUGGGCACUUUAUGUGGCACCAGCAUGGGCACUUUAUAUGUGACACCAGCAUGGGCAUGUAGCACCAGCACAGGCACCUUAUAUGUGGAACCAGCAUGGGCACUUUAUGUGUGACACAUUUAUGGGUACUUUAUAUGUGGCACCAGCAUGGGCACUUUAUAUGUGGCACUUUAUAUGUAGCACCAGCAUGGGCACUGUAUAUGUGGAACCAGCACAGGCACCUUAUAUGUGGAACCAGCAUGGGCACUUUAUGUGUGACACCAGCAUGGGUACUUUAUAUGUGGCACCAGGACGGGCAUUUUAUAUGUGGCACAAGUAUGGGUACUUUAUAUGUGGAACCAGCAUGGGUGCUUUUUAUGUGAAACCAAAACAGGUACUUUUUAUGUGGCACUAGCACCUGCAAGCUUGCAUGGCACCAGCACUUACAAGCAUAAUUAGGGUGGAAAACUGGCAGAGUUAUUAGAAUAUCAGGCAAAAUUCCUAGCAUUGUUUCUUCUGAUUCUUUACAGUCUGCGGUCAACUUAACCUUUCAUCCCUCCAGGGUCAAUAAAAUAAAGUACCAGUCAAGUACUGGGGUUGAUUU
Molecule: long non-coding RNA, 2093 nt
Organism: Octopus sinensis (East Asian common octopus)
Lineage: Eukaryota; Metazoa; Mollusca; Cephalopoda; Octopoda; Octopodidae
Exons: 3
Source: RefSeq, a predicted model, not a curated record